This 467-nucleotide ribosomal RNA is filed under the name uncultured bacterium. RNAcentral describes it as "partial 16S ribosomal RNA". It matches the Rfam family "Bacterial small subunit ribosomal RNA", at positions 28 to 507 of the family's 1533-position model. The record is from RNAcentral.
GACGAACGCUGGCGGCGUGCUUAACACAUGCAAGUCGAACGGAAAGGCCUCUUUCGGGGGGUACUCGAGUGGCGAACGGGUGAGUAACACGUGAGUAACCUGCCCUUGACUUUGGGAUAACUUCAGUAAACUGGGGCUAAUACCGGAUAGGAGCUCCUGCUGCAUGGUGGGGGUUGGAAAGUUUCGGCGGUUGGGGAUGGACUCGCGGCUUAUCAGCUUGUUGGUGGGGUAGUGGCUUACCAAGGCUUUGACGGGUAGCCGGCCUGAGAGGGUGACCGGCCACAUUGGGACUGAGAGACGGCCCAGACUCCUACGGGAGGCAGCAGUGGGGAAUAUUGCACAAUGGGUGGAAGCCUGAUGCAGCAACGCCGUGUGCGGGAUGACGGCCUUCGGGUUGUAAACCGCUUUCGCUCAUGACGAAGCUUUGUGUGACGGUAGUGGGUAAAGAAGCACCGGCUAACUACGUG